GUGUCAGCCGCCGCGGUAAUACGAAGGGGGCUAGCGUUGCUCGGAAUUACUGGGCGUAAAGGGAGCGUAGGCGGAUAGUUUAGUGAGAGGUGAAAGCCCAGGGCUCAACCUUGGAACUGCCUUUCAUACUGGCUAUCUUGAGUACGGGAGAGGUGAGUGGAACUCCGAGUGUAGAGGUGAAAUUCGUAGAUAUUCGGAAGAACACCAGUGGCGAAGGCGACUCACUGGCCCGUUACUGACGCUGAGGCUCGAAAGCGUGGGGAGCAAACAGGAUUAGAAACCCCCGUAGUCC
RNAcentral lists this ribosomal RNA (292 nucleotides) under uncultured bacterium. RNAcentral describes it as "partial 16S ribosomal RNA". It matches the Rfam family "Bacterial small subunit ribosomal RNA", at positions 505 to 796 of the family's 1533-position model. The record is from RNAcentral.